CCCUUAGAUGUUCUGGGCUGCACGCGUGCUACAAUGGCGUUUCCAGCAAGUCUGCGAACCCGAGAGGGCCAGCGGAUCUUCGAAUUGGCGUCGUGAUCGGGACAGUCGAUUGCAAUUAUUUGACUCAAACGAGGAAUUCCUUGUAAUCGCGAUUCAUCAUAUCGCGCUGAAUACGUCCCUGCCCUUUGUACACACCGCCCGUCGCUCCUACCGAUUGAGCGAUCCGGUAAAUGUUUUGGAUUGGUGCCGGGGCGGCUAGCUGCCGGUCGCUACGAAAUUUUGUGAACCUUAUCGCUUAGAGGAAGGAAAAGUCGUAGCA
This 319-nucleotide ribosomal RNA is filed under the name uncultured eukaryote. RNAcentral describes it as "partial 18S ribosomal RNA". It matches the Rfam family "Eukaryotic small subunit ribosomal RNA", at positions 1470 to 1796 of the family's 1831-position model. The record is from RNAcentral.